AUGGAAAACAAAAACAAAACAAAACAAAACAAAAAAAAACCACUUUAUAUUAAUUCUUGUCUUAUUACUAGAUGUCAGAAGGGAUCAUUAAGACAAGAGUGCUAUGUGAUGCUCAAGGACACACUGCUGAGAGCGACUUUAAGGCUCUCACGAACCAGUGCAGAUUCUCUCCAUGAAGAGUGCUUCAUCCUCACCAAGUGUGAAGAGAGAAGAGCUGCAAGUCAGCACUUUCCAGUGCAUUUGCGUUUGCAUCAAGACGCCUGUAUUGCACAUCUGACUAAUUUACAGACUGAAGAAGGCAACUCUACUCCAGCUCUUUUGACAUCGCCUUUCCUCCUGUAUAAUGGAUAUAGGACGCUGGCCUUCCUCUUUAAACAACUUGACUUUUAUGCCAGUACUAAAAGCACACAUCAACCUAAAAAGCAUUUUAAUUAUUUUGCUCCCCCAACCUACAUCUUUCAAUAGUUCCCUUCUCCUCUGCUGACCUCCUGAUUAUGGUGUCCUCUCUUAAUAUCUGCAACCCUCCCUUGGCUUUCUCAACCCCUUCUUAAAGUUAACCUCCCCCCCCCCCCCCCCAGUAUUACUUUUGUAUCCCAGCUCUCUGCCUUUACACUACAGGGGCCUGGCCCACAGCUCACCUUCUCUCCAUAGCUCCUGACCCCCCCAGCCCCACAGGUGCAUCCUGGCCCUACGCCCUCCUGCCCUCCUGCCUGGUUGGGGCCACAGUGACUGCUACCCCUCCAGUAACAUGGGCUCAACCCAAAAGCACAGCUCUCACCUAACAGCAAUGAAUUAAAUCACAGAAUCACAGAAUGGCUGAGGUUGGAAGGGACCUCUGAAGAUCACCUAGCCCAACUCCCCAGACAAGAAGGAUCACUUACAGCACAUUGUGCAAGAUGGCAAAUGAACUUUAGCUUUCAUUGUUCACUGCUAUAAUGAUUUUUUUUUCUAUUUUCUAAAAUAUAUUCUGGCCAUCGUUUUUGUAUUAUUUUGUACAUCCAUGAGCAGCCCCCAUAGCUCUCCCCAGACAUUUUUUCUUCAAGAAAUGGCCCCAGCCAUUUUUUCUUCAAAAAAUGGCUCUCCCCAGCCAUUUUUUCCCCUUUCUGUAGAAGGCCAGAGCCUGAGGCAGGUAGGCCCCUGAGAGCUGUGUGUACUCUUGAUCCCCUUCUGAAAUCUCCUGUUAAAUAAAAGGAGUUAAUUCUUUAAAUGUUCUCUUGCC
Molecule: long non-coding RNA, 1219 nt
Filed under: Anas platyrhynchos platyrhynchos (common mallard)
Lineage: Eukaryota; Metazoa; Chordata; Aves; Anseriformes; Anatidae
Description: lncRNA (ENSAPLG00000025662.1)
Source: RNAcentral